RNAcentral lists this non-coding RNA (82 nucleotides) under uncultured Anaerobutyricum sp. Its description in RNAcentral is "S10-Clostridia ribosomal protein leader". It matches the Rfam family "S10-Clostridia ribosomal protein leader". The record is from RNAcentral. Lineage: Bacteria; Bacillati; Bacillota; Clostridia; Lachnospirales; Lachnospiraceae.
UGAUAGCGAUGAAGCGCGAGGUUGCUGCGCAUGACGCAGGUUUUCCGUGGAGCGAAUGUCAAGUCAAAGAUACUGGCGACAA